GUGCUGUCUUUAGUGUCCAAGCUGCCAAAAAGUGUGUCACUGAGUUACUCAGUCACUUGGGGUCUUGGAGAACCAAACAAGAAGCCGAACCGGCAAUGCCGGAGCGCUAGCGUCGCGACGAACAACAUUCUUUGCCGACUUUCUGCCUCACACACAUCUACACGUGCAUAUAAGCACGAGUAGACUAUAAGAGCUCUGUGUGCAUCAUCCCGGAGCCGAAUACGUCAUUGCCGCUCCUUUCCAGAUUCUAGGCCGGACUCUCGCAAUGACAUUAGACCUUAUAUUUAUUCUCCCGAUCAUAUUAUAUAGUAGAAGUGCCUUUGGACUCCAUACAGUGAUUUGCAUGUCAAUCGAGUGUUUUAGCUCGUUGGCUGAGAUGGCGUUCAGGAUGGCUGAGAUGGCUUCUACGUUUGCAUAACGCUUUCCUUUCGUCGGCAAACCCAUUUUUCCGAAAAGGUAAAAGAGUGCAAAGAAUGCAUUCUGGCUGUACUUAUCAAGAAUAUGUAUAUACAUAAAGACUCUCACACGUCUUCCUUGGUGUAACACACACUCGCACCUAACUAU
Long non-coding RNA from Scaptodrosophila lebanonensis, 564 nucleotides. RefSeq lists it as uncharacterized. The transcript is spliced from 3 exons. Lineage: Eukaryota; Metazoa; Arthropoda; Insecta; Diptera; Drosophilidae. The record is from RefSeq and is a predicted model, not a curated record.